Rhododendron vialii is the source of this 606-nucleotide long non-coding RNA. RefSeq lists it as uncharacterized. Lineage: Eukaryota; Viridiplantae; Streptophyta; Magnoliopsida; Ericales; Ericaceae. The transcript has 2 exons. The record is from RefSeq and is a predicted model, not a curated record.
AAGGUGUCGGCCCAGUUUGUCCCAAAGGCCCGCGCUAAUUAGGGCUUAAAAUUUGUAAGCCCUAGCCCUAGACGUAUAUAUAGCAAAUGAGCUCCCCUUUGCCGACUCUCACAAUCACAAUAUCACGUUUUCAUCUGAAGGGUUUCUGCUCAUAAUACAAAGUUGAAGAAAGCUCCCUGUCACCAUGAGGGCUAAGUGGAAGAAGAAGCGUAUGAGGAGGUUGAAGAGGAAGCGCCGAAAGAUGAGACAGAGAUCCAAGUAGGCGGCACUUUUUGACAACGUGGGUGCUUCUCCUGAAAUGCUUUCAUCACUGUUGACGCUGGUUGUGCUGGAGGUGAUGGAAAAUUGAAGGGAAGCUUGCAUUGCCAGUGCAGUUUCUACAUCUAGUUUUGGGUUUUGUAGCAUCACUAAGAGUUUUAAGACUGAGCGCUCCUGAGUUCACUUAUUUCUUGUAUUCGUAUUUUCUAUCUACAACUGAAUGACUUUUGGAUCUUGUGUUAGUUAUGUUACCCGUUAAUUUGAGCUCAACUUGAUUUCUGUUGAUGAAUGUGAGUUGUAAUCAUUUGGAUAUAUUUUGCUUAAGUGUGCUUUGCCUCGAGUCAAAAA